RNAcentral lists this non-coding RNA (194 nucleotides) under human gut metagenome. The record is from RNAcentral.
ACAACUUAUUUUCCGAGAGGUGGAAUGAUAGGGUAACGCCUUGAAACGCCUCCUUAAUACUCCGAAUAGCGUCUCUUGUUGCACACAGGAGGGGUUAUAAGCUCGGUGAAGUCGGCUGAGAGCCACCCUAACGCGUAAUGGCGAGGAAAUGCGAACCAGAGGUGGUCGAGUGGAUGAUAGGCCGGAGUCUACAA